RNAcentral lists this long non-coding RNA (491 nucleotides) under Phoenix dactylifera (date palm). RNAcentral describes it as "long non-coding RNA (PDAC_LNC022932)". Lineage: Eukaryota; Viridiplantae; Streptophyta; Magnoliopsida; Arecales; Arecaceae. The record is from RNAcentral.
CCUUUUGUAAAACUGUGUACAUUGCCAACUCUAUGUAUGUGUUUCUAUGAAUGUGAAUGUGCCUGUUGAUGUGUCAUAAGAAUCUCAUAACAUACAUUAAGUAUUCAGAUUUGGCACAACGUAUCAAAGCAUAUAAAACAGGGGGAGCACAACCUGAAUAUCAAAGGGGGAGUAAAAUGAACACUGAAUAUAUUGAAUAUAGAGAUAAUUUGUCCCCUUCAUCGUUGAUGACAAAAAGGGGGAGUAGAUAUUGAAUGUAGAGAUAGUGAAAGGGGGGAGCAGUUAUAUAUAUGGAUAUUGAAUAUGGAAUGCAAAAUUCAUAAUCAUACUCGAAAGUUGAUUUAGAAAAGAUAAAAUUGAAGAAUAUUGACCUUCAGAUAAUUGCCCUUCUGGAAAAGAAAGGGGGAGUCAAAAAGAAUCUAGCUUUCAAUUAUCCUCAGCAUCAAUACUUCAUUUUAACUUGAUUCAAAUUCAGUUGAUAUGCUAAAAUC